UCUGGGAUAAGCGCUAGAAAUGGCGUCUAAUACCGGAUACGAGCUUCAGCCGCAUGCGUAGGAGUUGGAAAGAAUUUUGGUCAANRAUNGACUCGCGGCCUAUCAGCUAGUUGGUGAGGUAAUGGCUCACCAAGGCGACGACGGGUAGCCGGCCUGAGAGGGUGACCGGCCACNYUGGGACUGAGACACGGCCCAGACUCYUACGGGAGGCAGCAGUGGGGAAUAUUGCACAAUGGGCGAAAGCUGAUGCAGCAACGCCGCGUGAGGGAUGACGGCCUUCGGGUUGUAAACCUCUUUUAGUAGGGAAGAAGCGAAAGUDACGGUACCUGCAGAAAAAGCACCGGCUAACUACGUGCCAGCAGCCGCGGUAAUACGUAGGGUGCAAGCNUUGUCCGGAAUUAUUGGGCGUAAAGAGCUCGUAGGCGGUUUGUCGCGUCUGCUGUGAAAUCUGGGGGCUCAACCCCCAGCCUGCAGUGGGUACGGGCAGACUAGAGUGCGGUAGGGGAGAUUGGAAUUCCUGGUGUAGCGGUGGAAUGCGCAGAUAUCAGGAGGAACACCGAUGGCGAAGGCAGAUCUCUGGGCCGUAACUGACGCUGAGGAGCGAAGACAUGGGGAGCGAACAGGAUUAGAUACCCUGGUAGUCCAUGCCGUAAACGUUGGGAACUAGAUGUGGGGGCCAUUCCACGGUCUCCGUGUCGCAGCUAACGCAUUAAGUUCCCCGCCUGGGGAGUACGGCCGCAAGCUAAAAACUCAAAGGAAUUGACGGGGGCCCGCACAAGCGGCGGACAUGCGGAUUAAUUCGAUGCAACGCGAAGAACCUUACCAAGGCUUGACAUAUACCGGAAACGUCCAGAGAUGGUCGCCCCGCAAGGUCGGUAUACAGGUGGUGCAUGGUUGUCGUCAGCUCGUGUCGUGAGAUGUUGGGUUAAGUCCCGCAACGAGCGCAACCCUCGUUCUAUGUUGCCAGCACGUUAUGGUGGGAACUCAUAGGAGACUGCCGGGGUCAACUCGGAGGAAGGUGGGGAUGACGUCAAAUCAUCAUGCCCCUUAUGUCUUGGGCUUCACGCAUGCUACAAUGGCCGGUACAAAGGGCUGCGAUACCGUAAGGUGGAGCGAAUCCCAAAAAGCCGGUCUCAGUUCGGAUUGAGGUCUGCAACUCGACCUCAUGAAGUCGGAGUCGCUAGUAAUCGCAGAUCAGCAACGCUGCGGUGAAUACGUUCCCGGGCCUUGUACACACCGCCCGUCAAGUCAUGAAAGUCGNNAACACCCGAAGCCAGUGGCCUAACCCUUGUGGAUGGAGCUGUCGAAGGUGGGAUCGGUGAUUAGGACUAAG
RNAcentral lists this ribosomal RNA (1333 nucleotides) under Frigoribacterium faeni. Its description in RNAcentral is "16S ribosomal RNA". It matches the Rfam family "Bacterial small subunit ribosomal RNA", at positions 137 to 1485 of the family's 1533-position model. Lineage: Bacteria; Bacillati; Actinomycetota; Actinomycetes; Micrococcales; Microbacteriaceae. The record is from RNAcentral.